UACGUAGGGGGCAAGCGUUGUCCGGAAUCAUUGGGCGUAAAGCGCGUGUAGGCGGCCAGGUAAGUCCGUUCUGAAAGCCCGGGGCUCAACCCCGGGAGGCGGAUGGAUACUGCUUGGCUCGAGUCCGGAAGAGGCGAGUGGAAUUCCCGGUGUAGCGGUGAAAUGCGUAGAUAUUGGGAGGAACACCAGUGGCGAAAGCGACUUUCUGGGCCAUUCCUGACGCUGAGGUUCGAAAGCUCGGGGAGCAAACAGG
RNAcentral lists this ribosomal RNA (253 nucleotides) under uncultured bacterium. RNAcentral's name for it is "partial 16S ribosomal RNA". It matches the Rfam family "Bacterial small subunit ribosomal RNA", at positions 524 to 776 of the family's 1533-position model. The record is from RNAcentral.